GGCCCUUCGGGGUACUCGAGUGGCGAACGGGUGAGUAACACGUGGGUGAUCUGCCCUGCACUUUGGGAUAAGCCUGGGAAACUGGGUCUAAUACCGAAUACACCCUUCUGAUCGCAUGGUUGGUGGGGGAAAGCUUUUGCGGUGUGGGAUGGGCCCGCGGCCUAUCAGCUUGUUGGUGGGGUGAUGGCCUACCAAGGCGACGACGGGUAGCCGGCCUGAGAGGGUGUCCGGCCACACUGGGACUGAGAUACGGCCCAGACUCCUACGGGAGGCAGCAGUGGGGAAUAUUGCACAAUGGGCGCAAGCCUGAUGCAGCGACGCCGCGUGGGGGAUGACGGCCUUCGGGUUGUAAACCUCUUUCAGCACAGACGAAGCGCAAGUGACGGUAUGUGCAGAAGAAGCACCGGCCAACUACGUGCCAGCAGCCGCGGUAAUACGUAGGGUGCGAGCGUUGUCCGGAAUUACUGGGCGUAAAGAGCUCGUAGGUGGUUUGUCGCGUUGUUCGUGAAAACUCACAACUCAAUUGUGGGCGUGCGGGCGAUACGGGCAGACUGGAGUACUGCAGGGGAGACUGGAAUUCCUGGUGUAGCGGUGGAAUGCGCAGAUAUCAGGAGGAACACCGGUGGCGAAGGCGGGUCUCUGGGCAGUAACUGACGCUGAGGAGCGAAAGCGUGGGGAGCGAACAGGAUUAGA
This 693-nucleotide ribosomal RNA is filed under the name uncultured Actinomycetes bacterium. RNAcentral describes it as "bacterial SSU rRNA". It matches the Rfam family "Bacterial small subunit ribosomal RNA", at positions 74 to 782 of the family's 1533-position model. Lineage: Bacteria; Bacillati; Actinomycetota; Actinomycetes. The record is from RNAcentral.